This 554-nucleotide long non-coding RNA is filed under the name Homo sapiens (human). Its description in RNAcentral is "HSALNT0092949". Lineage: Eukaryota; Metazoa; Chordata; Mammalia; Primates; Hominidae. The record is from RNAcentral.
AAAAGAGGUAUUCUCCUGCACACGCUCCCUCAUUUUUUGCCUGCUGCCAUCCAGUUAAGAUAUGACUUGCUCCUCCUUGCCUUCUGCCAUGAUGUGAGGCUUCCCUAGCCACAUGGAACUGAUGAAGAAUUGGCUGGAGGUAAAAAUCUCAUUGAAAAUCUUUGUCAGUGGGUGAAAUGUCCAGCUGUUAAGUGAAUUGGUAUGGUAUGGUGGCUAGUUCCAAAUGAAAUGGCUAAGCUUCACCCCUUUGAACACUCAACUUCUCAGGAACACCUCCGUAACCAAAUGUUUGGUGUUUUUCCUAUACACCAAGAAGGCAAUCAGUUCUCAGCAGAUUCUCCAGUGGACACGAGGGGUACAUGUUACAUGGAUAAAUUGCGUGUUGCUGAGGCUUGGUGUACAAAUGAUCCCGUCACCGAGGUAAUGAGUGUAAUACCGGAUAGAUAAGCCUCCAACCCACCUCUGCUCUACCCUCCCCACCUCAAGAAGUCACCACUGUCUAUUGUUCUCACCUUUGUGUCCAUGUGUAUUCAAUACUUAACUCCCACUUUUAA